AUGUCAGCCACCCCUCGUCUGGCUAGCCAGAUUGCAGCUUUCCGAGAGGUGGUACAGGACUGUGAACUCCAUGACCUUGGUUUCUCUGGUGUUCCAUUCACUUACGACAAUAAGAGAAGAGGAACAGCAAACGUAAAGGUCAGACUGGAUCGGGCUCUAGCUGAUGAUCGAUGGAGAGAUAUCUUCUCGGAUGCGAGCGUGGUACACCUGGUUUCCCCCUACUCGGACCAUUUGCCACUCUUAAUCCACCUACAAAAGGAGGAGCUCUUGCCAAAACGCCGACGUACCAGCCAGUACGAAAUAUUUUGGGAGCGUGCUGGCGAACUCCCAGAAUUAAUACAGAGGGCGUGGGAUGCAACAAAGACCAGCGGCAACCUGGCGUUGGUCACUGCAGGGCUGAGCCAGGUGAUGGAGAAUCUGCAGGGCUGGAGCAAACGAAAAUUUGGGAAUAUUUUGCGAGAGCUUGAUAGCACUCGUAGGAAACUUGACCAGUUGUUGCAAACCAAUGGAGAUCAGCUGGAGAUUAGAAGACUCUCUGAUAGCAUGAACGAACUGCUAUAUAAAGAAGAGCUCCUU
RNAcentral lists this ribosomal RNA (576 nucleotides) under Triticum aestivum (bread wheat). RNAcentral describes it as "partial small subunit ribosomal RNA". The record is from RNAcentral. Lineage: Eukaryota; Viridiplantae; Streptophyta; Magnoliopsida; Poales; Poaceae.